Helianthus annuus (common sunflower) is the source of this 589-nucleotide long non-coding RNA. RefSeq lists it as uncharacterized. NCBI's taxonomy places the organism in Eukaryota, Viridiplantae, Streptophyta, Magnoliopsida, Asterales, Asteraceae. The transcript has 3 exons. The record is from RefSeq and is a predicted model, not a curated record.
UUUCUUCAACCCUAGAUCAGAUUUCAUUCAUCAUUCAGCCCGCUCACUCAUGUCGUUUAUUCUCUCUGCGAAAAUGUAGAACCGCCAUCGGUUACGUCCCUAAUCGGACUCGAACGCCAAAUAAUCGCCUUUUUCAGCCUAAUUGGACUCCAGCCGUCGUCCGCCGCUGGCCGCCGUCGUUGUUAUACAUUUGCAGUUGCCGCUUAGCGGCUCCAUCUUUAUAGGUGAAAUACGGAACUUUUGUUUUGGAGAUCAAAGGCUCAGUACCAUUUUUUUGCACUUGGAAGAAGAGCCAAAUGGUUGCGAAGGGGCCUGGAUGUGGUAUUAUAUUGAUGAAUCUGCUUACAUUGAUGUUCAUGAAGUAAUUGUGCCCCAAAUGAUACAAAAAAUUGUUUGUUAAUAUCUUACAAGUAGCUUAGAAGGCUGAAUUGAUUGCUGGAUUUCUAUAAAAGGUUGCUCUAAAGAGUGGCUUGCAGGAUAAUAAAUUAAAGGAGAUAGUUAUGAUAAUAUGGAUCAUUACUAAAGCAUCAUUUUAUCUGAUUAAUGUGUGAGAUUAAGUUAUUGUUUUAAUAGAUAAAAUAAAUAAAUU